UUGGAGGGCAAGUCUGGUGCCAGCAGCCGCGGUAAUUCCAGCUCCAAUAGCGUAUAUUAAAGUUGUUGCAGUUAAGAAGCUCGUAGUUGAAUUUCGGGGUCAGUAGGUUGGUCAUGCCACUGGUAUGUACUGGUCUCACUGAUUCCUCCUUCCUGAUGAGCUGUAAUGCCAUUAAUUUGGUGUUGCGGGGAAUCUGGACUGUUACUUUGAAAAAAUUAGAGUGUUUAAAGCAGGCUAACGCCUGAAUACAUUAGCAUGGAAUAAUGAAAUAGGACGUUCGAUCCUAUUUUGUUGGUUUCUAGGAUUGACGUAAUGAUUAAUAGGGAUAGUUGGGGGCAUUAGUAUUCAAUUGUCAGAGGUGAAACUCUUGGAUUUAUUGAAGACUAACUACUGCGAAAGCAUUUGCCAAGGAUGUUUUCAUUAAUCAAGAACGAAGGUUAGGGGAUCGAAGACGAUCAGAUACCGUCGUAGUCUUAACCAUAAACUAUGCCGACUAGGGAUCGGAUGAUGUUAAUUUUUUAAUGACUCAUUCGGCGCCUUACGGGAAAC
This 549-nucleotide ribosomal RNA is filed under the name uncultured Glomeraceae. Its description in RNAcentral is "SSU rRNA". It matches the Rfam family "Eukaryotic small subunit ribosomal RNA", at positions 548 to 1098 of the family's 1831-position model. The record is from RNAcentral. Lineage: Eukaryota; Fungi; Glomeromycota; Glomeromycetes; Glomerales; Glomeraceae.